RNAcentral lists this long non-coding RNA (1050 nucleotides) under Pogona vitticeps (central bearded dragon). Its description in RNAcentral is "lncRNA (ENSPVIG00000022517.1)". Lineage: Eukaryota; Metazoa; Chordata; Lepidosauria; Squamata; Agamidae. The record is from RNAcentral.
AGCUGCAAAGAAGGCAAAGCCUCUUUCUGGCGCUCGCAAACACGCUCGCGCCCCCCCUCACACACACACACCCCCGCCGCCGCGAGAGCCACGUGUGCCUUGGGAUCUCUCGCGGCCCUCCCGCCUCGUCGUCUCGGGAGGCGCGCCGGGGCUCGAGCUUUGCGCAAGGAGCGGUUUAGCCGCAGAGGCCCUGCUUGCUUUCGCCUCUUGCAGGUGGGCGGCGGCGGCGGCGGCGCUCACCAGCGCCCCUCAGGACCGAGCUCCCCCUCGCUGCCUCCCUCGCUUUCACCCACGGAGAGACAGAGAGAGGGAGGCUGCUUGACGGCAAGGGGGCGGCGGGCGCCCAAGGCGCCCCCCCCGGCUAAGCCUGCAGGGCAGGCGGCGCAGGCAGAAGCGGUAGCUGCUCAGAGGAGUCCACUUUUUUUCCCCUUUGACCUCGCCUCCGGGCCGGCCACCGGAGCAGGAGGAGCCCCACUUGCCCACCCUGACGAAGGCGCCCGGUACUAAGUCAUGGAUACAGUUACUAUCACCACAAAAUUGGAAGAUAUGGAAGUCUUCAGGGCUGAUCCUCUACCAACAUCUGGAAAGACAUGACACUGAUUUAGUACAACACGAUUUCUCUGUUGGGGCACCAUUAACCUUUAUUACCAUUGGUGUCUCCCAGUUCCAUUGCACUUUGUUGAAAUGGCAGUCUUCUGCAUACAGAACUUGAGAGUAAGUAUAAUUGAACACAGUGAAUAUAAUUUCUAAGCAAAUCUGCAUUAUUUGGGGUUACAGGACACCCAAGGAUUUUGUGUCCCAAGUCAUAGUGUAACAGAGAGCCUUUCUUGGAGUUUGCCACACCAGCUUAGAGCUCUUUUCCUCCAGAGGAUUGCUCUUCCUGAUUAGCUUGAAUCAUAUGCAAAACAGCUUUUAAAAAUUAUUAGUGCUGAUUGGAGCACCACCAUGUGGAAGAGACUUUUGGAGGUGUUAAUUCUCAAGGCCCUGAAGAAGAGUGUAAAGAGACGACAAGAUCAGAUUAUUUCAUAAUAAAUAUGCCUCUGAAAAACA